This is a long non-coding RNA of Hirundo rustica (Barn swallow), 798 nucleotides long. RefSeq lists it as uncharacterized. NCBI's taxonomy places the organism in Eukaryota, Metazoa, Chordata, Aves, Passeriformes, Hirundinidae. The record is from RefSeq and is a predicted model, not a curated record. The transcript has 3 exons.
AGGGGAACGAGCGGCUCCGGUGGGCCGGGCUCACCGCCCUGAGGGGAACGAGCGGCUCCGGUGGGCCGGGCUCACCGCCAUGAGGGGAACGAGCGGCUCCGGUGGGCCGGGCUCACCGCCCUGAGGGGAACGAGCGGCUCCGGCGGGCCGGGCUCGCCGCCCUGAGGGGAACGAGCGGCUCCGGCGGGCCGGGCUCACCGCCAUGAGGGGAACGAGCGGCUCCGGCGGGCCGGGCUCCUCGGGGCUCGCCGCCGUGAGGCACCGCCACAGCCAUGAGGCCUUCACCGAUGGGGGGAUCGCGGUGACCCGGAGUUGUGGGUGGCCAGGAGGAGCCCUGAGAUGACCCGACCCCGUCGUGUGUGAAACCCCCCGAGCUGUGCUGUGCUGGGACAGCCAAGGACGUGUCUCCAGGAGGGCACUAGAGCCUGCCGAUAGGGGAUGUGAAGGGAUAACCUGCCCGUGAGGCACCAGGAGAGCUCUGGAGCAACGUGGUGAGGUAAAUUGUUGGUGUGGGGCUUGCUGGAGCAGCAGGAGUGGUCAGAGGAAAAGUUGUCAAUGCUGCUUUGAAGAUCUUUGUUUGAAAGGUACUGGGAAGAUGGAAACCUGGAGCCCCCAGUUUAAACAGGGCAACCGGAGAAGAAUUUGUUUUCAGGAUGUGGAUGUAGGAAUUGGAAAUAUAAAAGGUGAUUUGGGGCAAGGUAUAACAAGAAUUAUGUGUACAAUUUACUGUUAAUCUCCUUUCACUGCUUGUUUAAAAUAUAUUUUUAUAUGACCUCAAUUAAAGGUAUUUAUAUUUAA